This 862-nucleotide ribosomal RNA is filed under the name Dictyosporium sp. RNAcentral describes it as "partial large subunit ribosomal RNA". It matches the Rfam family "Eukaryotic large subunit ribosomal RNA", at positions 33 to 936 of the family's 3401-position model. Lineage: Eukaryota; Fungi; Ascomycota; Dothideomycetes; Pleosporales; Dictyosporiaceae. The record is from RNAcentral.
CUUAAGCAUAUCAAUAAGCGGAGGAAAAGAAACCAACAGGGAUUGCCCUAGUAACGGCGAGUGAAGCGGCAAUAGCUCAAAUUUGAAAUCUGGCUUCCUUGGAAGUCCGAGUUGUAAUUUGCAGAGGGCGCUUUGGCGUCGGUAGCGGUCUAAGUUCCUUGGAACAGGACGUCACAGAGGGUGAGAAUCCCGUACGUGGUCGACUACCUUCGCCGUGUAAAGCCCCUUCGACGAGUCGAGUUGUUUGGGAAUGCAGCUCUAAAUGGGAGGUAAAUUUCUUCUAAAGCUAAAUACUGGCCAGAGACCGAUAGCGCACAAGUAGAGUGAUCGAAAGAUGAAAAGCACUUUGGAAAGAGAGUCAAACAGCACGUGAAAUUGUUGAAAGGGAAGCGCUUGCCGCCAGACGUGCCCGUGGUGGUUCUCCUCCGCGGGCAGGCCAGCAUCAGUUUGGGCGAUCGGAUAAAGGCCUCUGUCAUGUAUCUCCCUUCGGGGUGACCUUAUAGGGGAGGCGUAAUGCGAUCAGUCCGGACUGAGGUCCGCGCAUCUGCUAGGAUGCUGGCGUAAUGGCUGUAAGCGGCCCGUCUUGAAACACGGACCAAGGAGUCUAACAUCUAUGCGAGUGUUUGGGUGUCAAGCCCGAGCGCGUAAUGAAAGUGAACGGAGGUGGGAACCCUUUGGGUGCACCAUCGACCGAUCCUGAAGUCUUCGGAUGGAUUUGAGUAAGAGCAUGGCUGUUGGGACCCGAAAGAUGGUGAACUAUGCUUGAAUAGGGUGAAGCCAGAGGAAACUCUGGUGGAGGCUCGCAGCGGUUCUGACGUGCAAAUCGAUCGUCAAAUUUGGGCAUAGGGGCGAAAGACUAAUC